Molecule: unclassified non-coding RNA, 200 nt
Filed under: soil metagenome
Description: partial contains internal transcribed spacer 2 and large subunit ribosomal RNA
Source: RNAcentral
CGCGCUGCUCACCUCAAAAGGAUUAGCUGGACAUGUCGGGAGACUCGGUUCCACUUGGCGUAAUAAGUAUUUCGCUGAGGACAUCGCCUUCGGGGGGUGGCCGGGACUCUGGACGGACGUCUGCUUUCUAACUCGACGGCUUAGGCCUCACUUUUUUAUGAUCUGGCCUCAAAUCAGGUAGGACUACCCGCUGAACUUAA